Molecule: ribosomal RNA, 497 nt
Filed under: uncultured bacterium
Lineage: Bacteria
Description: partial 16S ribosomal RNA
Rfam family: Bacterial small subunit ribosomal RNA
Source: RNAcentral
GAUGAACGCUGGCGGCGUGCCUAAUACAUGCAAGUCGAGCGAACGGACGAGAAGCUUGCUUCUCUGAUGUUAGCGGCGGACGGGUGAGUAACACGUGGAUAACCUACCUAUAAGACUGGGAUAACUUCGGGAAACCGGAGCUAAUACCGGAUAAUAUUUUGAACCGCAUGGUUCAAAAGUGAAAGACGGUCUUGCUGUCACUUAUAGAUGGAUCCGCGCUGCAUUAGCUAGUUGGUAAGGUAACGGCUUACCAAGGCAACGAUGCAUAGCCGACCUGAGAGGAUGAUCGGCCACACUGGAACUGAGACACGGUCCAGACUACUACGGGAGGCCGCAGUAGGGAAUCUUCCGCAAUGGGCGAAAGCCUGACGGAGCAACGCCGCGUGAGUGAUGAAGGUCUUCGGAUCGUAAAACCCUGUUAUUAGGGAAGAACAUAUGUGUAAGUAACUGUGCACAUCUUGACGGUACCUAAUCAGAAAGCCACGGCUAACUACGUG